Molecule: long non-coding RNA, 656 nt
Filed under: Marmota monax (woodchuck)
Lineage: Eukaryota; Metazoa; Chordata; Mammalia; Rodentia; Sciuridae
Source: RNAcentral
UUAGAAGCUUGAAGAUGGAAAGUGAGUCCACACAGAGUGAGCCCCUUGGAAGCACACGCCUCCGUCAACAGGACGCCUGGAGUCUGGCCGUGACAGCCACAGCAGGACGGUCCCUGGGCUCCAGGACCCAAGAAGACCCUGCUACACGGCCCAGGUCAGAGACUCUGGUUUGCCCAGGAGAACAACCGAGGAGAACUCGCACUCCAGAGAGCGAGGCUGGGCCCAGCCACCCGGGGAGCACGGAGGAAAGGCCGCUCUCUGGAAAGGGCCGCAGCUCCUCCAGGGCUCGGAGGACCAGAGCAGAGAAGGGCAAACACAGGCUCUGGGCAAAAGGUCUCCUUGUCACGGUGUCUGGCUCAGGAAGCCUUCAUAAAUGUCACUGUGAUGUAGUCCCCUGCUCUGUGGAGUGGGUAACAGCCGAGCUGGCCCAACUUUGUCCCCCUGAGAGUCUCCUCCUGUGACAUCUCAUGCUGCGUCUUUGCAUCCUCUCACACAAGCUGCAAAGCAAGCUGGCAGAAGGAGGGAUAAGCAGCAGGACUACCCAGGUGAUCAGCAGAUGGGUCGGGAGGAGACGGGGUUGUGUCCUAUAAUUAAAUAAAGAUGGGUCCCAGGAACAACCGCAGCCAGGCAUCUGAUGGCCCGUGGGCCCCUCCCUC